This is a long non-coding RNA of Orcinus orca (killer whale), 211 nucleotides long. RefSeq lists it as uncharacterized. The transcript is spliced from 3 exons. Lineage: Eukaryota; Metazoa; Chordata; Mammalia; Artiodactyla; Delphinidae. The record is from RefSeq and is a predicted model, not a curated record.
CCACUCAUUAUGCUGCUACGGGCCUGAUGACAUAGAUUUCAUUGCUGAGUGAUACUGCAUUGUACUUAGAAUCAUCAUACCUGAAUCCACUCAUUAUGCUUCUAAGGGCCUGAUGACAUAGAUUUCAUUGCUGAGUGAUAUUGCAUUGUGCAAUCAUCAUACCUGAAUCCACUCAUUGUGCUGCUACGGCCCUGAUGACAUAGAUUUCAUU